This 386-nucleotide long non-coding RNA is filed under the name Elaeis guineensis (African oil palm). RNAcentral's name for it is "long non-coding RNA (EGUI_LNC017660)". The record is from RNAcentral. Lineage: Eukaryota; Viridiplantae; Streptophyta; Magnoliopsida; Arecales; Arecaceae.
UCUCUCUCUCUCUCUCGUAGAAUUUAUUUAUAGACAAGGAAGUCGAGCAUCCAAACAAUCUCUUAAAAUCUAGGCUAAUAUAUUAUUCCUUUGGAGAACUUAUUCAAAUAUAAUAUUUUCGGACAUCCAAAUAGGCCCUUAAACCGGACUAUUCUUCCCCAACAUCCAACUAGUCGGAAUUAUCCACACAAAGCAACCUCUCUUUCCGAAUCCAGAGGAAGCUGAUUCAUUUUAGCUUCGUUGCCUUAUUUUUUUCCCAUACAUGUGAUGCUGGCCGCUGCCAUUCUAGUUUUCCAAAUGACCGUUGACAAAACAGAGAAGAUGUAUGGAUUUACUCAAAACAAGCGCCGAAAAUGCUUGAACAAAUUAUAAAUAAAAUAUUAGGC